This 293-nucleotide long non-coding RNA is filed under the name Nicotiana benthamiana. RNAcentral's name for it is "long non-coding RNA (NBEN_LNC015371)". The record is from RNAcentral. Lineage: Eukaryota; Viridiplantae; Streptophyta; Magnoliopsida; Solanales; Solanaceae.
ACACAUCAUAGAUAUAUAUGAUUUGCAACAGUCACGACACAUAUAAGCAGUCCACAAUAAUAGUAUCACCCAUGGAGUAGAUACACAAACAGAUCAAACAAGAGACUCACAGGGCGUAUCGAAAUAACGAGCAAAAUAUGAUGACACAUAUGAAAAAGUGGAAUCGGGAUCAAAUAACACAAAUGCAUCUCUGUGGCAAAUUGAGAUAAUUCCUGUAAUCACAACAUCUUAAGCAAUAGCAUCGGGUCUAGCUGGGAGUGCAUAGAAAUGGGCCUAACCACCACCUGAUCGAC